UGCAGGGGCAGAUUUGUCCCCCAGUACAGGUCCAGGCCUGUAUGAAGUUUGCCAGAGAGCAUAUUGAUGAUCCAGAAGAGGAUUGGGAGAAUAUCAUGUGGUCAGAUGAAACCAAAGAGAACUUUUUGGUAAAAACUCAACUCGUCAUGUUUGGAUGAAGAAGAAUGCA
Thalassophryne amazonica is the source of this 169-nucleotide long non-coding RNA. RefSeq lists it as uncharacterized. The transcript is spliced from 3 exons. The record is from RefSeq and is a predicted model, not a curated record. Lineage: Eukaryota; Metazoa; Chordata; Actinopteri; Batrachoidiformes; Batrachoididae.